RNAcentral lists this ribosomal RNA (384 nucleotides) under uncultured bacterium. RNAcentral's name for it is "bacterial SSU rRNA". It matches the Rfam family "Bacterial small subunit ribosomal RNA", at positions 28 to 416 of the family's 1533-position model. The record is from RNAcentral.
GACGAACGCUGGCGGCGUGCUUAACACAUGCAAGUCGAACGAUGAAGCCUUUCGGGGUGGAUUAGUGGCGAACGGGUGAGUAACACGUGGGUAAUCUGCCCUGCACUCUGGGAUAAGCCCGGGAAACUGGGUCUAAUACCGGAUAUGACUUUCUUACGCAUGUAGGAAGGUGGAAAGUUCCGGCGGUGCAGGAUGAACCCGCGGCCUAUCAGCUUGUUGGUGGGGUAAUGGCCUACCAAGGCGACGACGGGUAGCCGGCCUGAGAGGCGACCGGUCACACUGGGACUGAGACACGGCCCAGACUCCUACGGGAGGCAGCAGUGGGGAAGUAUUGCACAAUGGGCGAAAGCCUGAUGCAGCGACGCCGCGUGAGGGAUGACGGCC